CAUUCUUUUAGGAAUAUUGAAACAACAUUAUUAAUUGUGGUAAACCUUAUCUGGCAGUACUUAAGAGUGCAUCUUUGACUUUAUUACUCGAGUGAAUGCACCUUCAAACCGGUUUAACACCAACAUGUCACAGUAAUCAAUACCAUCUGUGUUAAGAUGUCGGGAAUGUGUUAGACGAAUGAUUUUGUUUUAUGGAGCUUUGAAGAGCGAUGAAUGGCACUAAAGUGGUGCCAAAUGGAUAUCUCAAACACCCAUUGUUGAUGUGUGAUGCUGAUAAUACAGAGACAGCUAGAGUGACAGAGUUUGAUGAAUAAACUUAAAUUAAAAAACAGAAAUAACCACCAUCUCUCUCAGAGGUCAUCUUUCUCAUUAUUGUGGGAAACCUCAAAGGGCAUCAGGAAAACCUUCAUCAACCUCUUUGUGCCCAGUGGCUUGUGCAACAGUGUUUCAGAAAUUAUCAUUAAAAUGGGGAUAAUGGAUGACUGGCCACACAUAUGGGGCUAUGGACAAGCUUCAGAGCAGGCUGCCAGGUGGUGGUGUUAGUAGUUUAUACUCCGGGUCCCGGCGUGAGCACAUUGAAGGGUCCCAGAGUGAAGGUUCAACCACCCACACCUAUCCUGGGCAGAACCAGUACUAGGUGCCUUCACCUCUGCAAGGAACUGACAGCUUCUGUACAUGCCAGGUGCAGUGGUACAGUGCGAAUGGUCGUAGAAAGGAUUUCAUAACCAAUCACAACAGAGGUCACCUGGUCCGCCCGGGAAUCGAACCCGGGAUGUCCAAUUCAGAGUCCAACGCUCUACCGAUUGAGCUGACCGGGCGGACAUAUUAGCUACAUUAGAUGACAAGCCAUCUAUGCUGGACAUUCUUCACAAUAAAAUGUGAUGUCACAGGAGCUGUCUAUCUCAACAGCUCACACUGUCCGUAUUUGACUAAAGGAAUGAAUGAAGUCACUGCAGAAGUUAGAUUGAGGAAUGUCCAUGUCACUACCCAUCAUUUGGAAGGAGUUGGAUAAAAAAAGUGUGGCCUAUGUAUUGAAACAGGUCCGAUUUCCAGUUACGGACAGUCUUGAUUUGUCUGAUUACAUUUUUGACCAACAUGAUGGUCUAAAAGAACACUUACUGGUAACUGGUAAAAUCAUGGCCCAGUUGUUCCAAGAGGCAGGCGAGUGGGAAGUUACUAGACUCCAUUUCUUUAUGGGCUGAUCUGAGGUUCCAGUUCAGUUAAAGUACUGAUAGAACACCAAGUGUUUGCCAUAAUACAGCAACAUUUCAUUUGUAACUAUGUAUUUGUUUGAAUUGUUGAAACAGUACUGUUUACUAAAUAAUGUGUAUGUAUAUGAAGAAUAAUAUUAUAAAUAAUUUGUAAGAACCUUUUGAUAUUAAGUAAAAUGUCGAUAAGUCUAAAUAUGUAUCUGCGAAUCAUUUUUGUAUAUCUGUAAAGAUUACAUUGCCUAUAUUCCUCAAUUUAUAUUUUUCUUUUAGCCAGUCAAUAACUUUGUUAAGUUCUAUCUUCAAAAUUGUCGGGACAGGGAUUAUAGCCCUUAAUUAACCCAAAUAUGUAACAUUCAAUGCAAAAUUGGCUGCAAUUAGGCAGUUCAGAUGCAGGAACAAACAUCACUUGGGUCCUUAAUAAUAGCUUUCCAUCUGACAUUGAAGAUCCAAUAAAAGGAAUUUGUCUUGUGACUGUUUAUUAACUCUCAAUUUAUUGAAAGUGAAAUUACUUACAUGAUUUGUAAGAACUAAAUUAUAAUGAUAUCAAAUGAUUGUUUAAAUUAAAUAAAAUAGAUGAUUACAUACAUGAACUAUUUUUAUUUCUUGUUUGUCAAUAUGAAGAGUAAUGCAAUGGCUUUUGAAUUUCAUAAAAAAGGAUGGAAAAAUGUAUGUUUAUUGUUUAAGCAAUUAAUUAAGUAAUAAAAGUUGUUUUUUUUCUUUUUUUCAAAUUGUGCUAUCUUAUAAUACAGAUCGUUAUUUGUUUAAUUUUGGUACAAAUGAAGUAUAUAAGGUAUGUCUAAUGUUACAAAUAGCAAAAAUUCAAAUGCAAAUCAUGGUGACUUGACUAAAUGUGAAUGCUAAUUGAAUCAAAAUAGUUAAUAAAUAAUAAUGUUCA
Long non-coding RNA from Mya arenaria, 2106 nucleotides. RefSeq lists it as uncharacterized. NCBI's taxonomy places the organism in Eukaryota, Metazoa, Mollusca, Bivalvia, Myida, Myidae. The record is from RefSeq and is a predicted model, not a curated record. The transcript has 4 exons.